GGGUUGUGAGGUUAAGCGACUAAGCGUACACGGUGGAUGCCCUGGCAGUCAGAGGCGAUGAAGGACGUGCUAAUCUGCGAAAAGCGCCGGCGAGGUGAUAUGAACCUUUGACCCGGCGAUGUCCGAAUGGGGAAACCCAGUGUGAUUCGUCACACUAUCGUUAACUGAAUACAUAGGUUAACG
Molecule: ribosomal RNA, 183 nt
Filed under: Enterobacter sp. EGD-HP1
Lineage: Bacteria; Pseudomonadati; Pseudomonadota; Gammaproteobacteria; Enterobacterales; Enterobacteriaceae
Description: partial 23S ribosomal RNA
Rfam family: Bacterial large subunit ribosomal RNA
Source: RNAcentral